RNAcentral lists this ribosomal RNA (942 nucleotides) under Penicillium sanguifluum. RNAcentral describes it as "LSU rRNA". It matches the Rfam family "Eukaryotic large subunit ribosomal RNA", at positions 21 to 980 of the family's 3401-position model. Lineage: Eukaryota; Fungi; Ascomycota; Eurotiomycetes; Eurotiales; Aspergillaceae. The record is from RNAcentral.
UUACCCCCCGUGAAUCAGCAUAUCCAUAAGCGGAGGAAAAGAAACCAACCGGGAUUGCCCUAGUAACGGCGAGUGAAGCGGCAAGAGCUCAAAUUUGAAAGCUGGCCCCCUCGGGGUCCGCAUUGUAAUUUGCAGAGGAUGCUUCGGGAGCGGUCCCCAUCUAAGUGCCCUGGAACGGGCCGUCAUAGAGGGUGAGAAUCCCGUAUGGGAUGGGGUGCCCGCGCCCGUGUGAAGCUCCUUCGACGAGUCGAGUUGUUUGGGAAUGCAGCUCUAAUUGGGUGGUAAAUUUCAUCUAAAGCUAAAUAUUGGCCGGAGACCGAUAGCGCACAAGUAGAGUGAUCGAAAGAUGAAAAGCACUUUGAAAAGAGAGUUAAACAGCACGUGAAAUUGUUGAAAGGGAAGCGCUUGCGAUCAGACUCGCCCACGGGGUUCAGCCGGCAUUCGUGCCGGUGUACUUCCCCGCGGGCGGGCCAGCGUCGGUUUGGGCGGUCGGUCAAAGGCCCCUGGAAUGUAACGCCUCUCGGGGCGUCUUAUAGCCAGGGGUGCCAUGCGACCUGCCCGGACCGAGGAACGCGCUUCGGCUCGGACGCUGGCAUAAUGGUCGUAAGCGACCCGUCUUGAAACACGGACCAAGGAGUCUAACAUCUACGCGAGUGUUCGGGUGUCAAACCCGUGCGCGCAGUGAAAGCGAACGGAGGUGGGAACCCUCACGGGUGCACCAUCGACCGAUCCUGAUGUCUUCGGAUGGAUUUGAGUAAGAGCGUAGCUGUUGGGACCCGAAAGAUGGUGAACUAUGCCUGAAUAGGGCGAAGCCAGAGGAAACUCUGGUGGAGGCUCGCAGCGGUUCUGACGUGCAAAUCGAUCGUCAAAAUUUGGGUAUAGGGGCGAAAGACUAAUCGAACCAUCUAGUAGCUGGUUCCUGCCGAAGUUCCCCCUCAGAAA